GAUGAACGCUGGCGGCGUGCCUAAUACAUGCAAGUCGAGCGAACAGACGAGGAGCUUGCUCCUCUGACGUUAGCGGCGGACGGGUGAGUAACACGUGGAUAACCUACCUAUAAGACUGGGAUAACUUCGGGGAACCGGAGCUAAUACCGGAUAAUAUAUUGAACCGCAUGGUUCAAUAGUGAAAGACGGUUUUGCUGUCACUUAUAGAUGGAUCCGCGCCGCAUUAGCUAGUUGGUAAGGUAACGGCUUACCAAGGCAACGAUGCGUAGCCGACAUGAGAGGGUGAUCGGCCACACUGGAACUGAGACACGGUCCAGACUCCUACGGGAGGCAGCAGUAGGGAAUCUUCCGCAAUGGGCGAAAGCCUGACGGAGCAACGCCGCGUGAGUGAUGAAGGUCUUCGGAUCGUAAAACUCUGUUAUUAGGGAAGAACAAAUGUGUAAGUAACUAUGCACGUCUUGACGGUACCUAAUCAGAAAGCCACGGCUAACUACGUG
RNAcentral lists this ribosomal RNA (497 nucleotides) under uncultured bacterium. Its description in RNAcentral is "partial 16S ribosomal RNA". It matches the Rfam family "Bacterial small subunit ribosomal RNA", at positions 28 to 507 of the family's 1533-position model. The record is from RNAcentral.